Molecule: ribosomal RNA, 940 nt
Filed under: Staphylococcus aureus M0677
Lineage: Bacteria; Bacillati; Bacillota; Bacilli; Caryophanales; Staphylococcaceae
Also listed under: 15 other names
Description: bacterial SSU rRNA
Rfam family: Bacterial small subunit ribosomal RNA
Source: RNAcentral
AGAGUUUGAUCCUGGCUCAGGAUGAACGCUGGCGGCGUGCCUAAUACAUGCAAGUCGAGCGAACGGACGAGAAGCUUGCUUCUCUGAUGUUAGCGGCGGACGGGUGAGUAACACGUGGAUAACCUACCUAUAAGACUGGGAUAACUUCGGGAAACCGGAGCUAAUACCGGAUAAUAUUUUGAACCGCAUGGUUCAAAAGUGAAAGACGGUCUUGCUGUCACUUAUAGAUGGAUCCGCGCUGCAUUAGCUAGUUGGUAAGGUAACGGCUUACCAAGGCAACGAUGCAUAGCCGACCUGAGAGGGUGAUCGGCCACACUGGAACUGAGACACGGUCCAGACUCCUACGGGAGGCAGCAGUAGGGAAUCUUCCGCAAUGGGCGAAAGCCUGACGGAGCAACGCCGCGUGAGUGAUGAAGGUCUUCGGAUCGUAAAACUCUGUUAUUAGGGAAGAACAUAUGUGUAAGUAACUGUGCACAUCUUGACGGUACCUAAUCAGAAAGCCACGGCUAACUACGUGCCAGCAGCCGCGGUAAUACGUAGGUGGCAAGCGUUAUCCGGAAUUAUUGGGCGUAAAGCGCGCGUAGGCGGUUUUUUAAGUCUGAUGUGAAAGCCCACGGCUCAACCGUGGAGGGUCAUUGGAAACUGGAAAACUUGAGUGCAGAAGAGGAAAGUGGAAUUCCAUGUGUAGCGGUGAAAUGCGCAGAGAUAUGGAGGAACACCAGUGGCGAAGGCGACUUUCUGGUCUGUAACUGACGCUGAUGUGCGAAAGCGUGGGGAUCAAACAGGAUUAGAUACCCUGGUAGUCCACGCCGUAAACGAUGAGUGCUAAGUGUUAGGGGGUUUCCGCCCCUUAGUGCUGCAGCUAACGCAUUAAGCACUCCGCCUGGGGAGUACGACCGCAAGGUUGAAACUCAAAGGAAUUGACGGGGACCCGCACAAG